Molecule: ribosomal RNA, 471 nt
Filed under: uncultured bacterium
Lineage: Bacteria
Description: bacterial SSU rRNA
Rfam family: Bacterial small subunit ribosomal RNA
Source: RNAcentral
ACUCCUACGGGAGGCAGCAGUGGGGAAUAUUGCACAAUGGGCGCAAGCCUGAUGCAGCCAUGCCGCGUGUAUGAAGAAGGCCUUCGGGUUGUAAAGUACUUUCAGCAGUGAGGAAGGUGGAUAUGUUAAUAGCAUAUUCAUUUGACGUUAGCUGCAGAAGAAGCACCGGCUAACUCCGUGCCAGCAGCCGCGGUAAUACGGAGGGUGCGAGCGUUAAUCGGAAUUACUGGGCGUAAAGCGCAUGCAGGUGGUUUGUUAAGUCAGAUGUGAAAGCCCGGGGCUCAACCUCGGAAUUGCAUUUGAAACUGGCAAACUAGAGUACUGUAGAGGGGGGUAGAAUUUCAGGUGUAGCGGUGAAAUGCGUAGAGAUCUGAAGGAUACCGGUGGCGAAGGCGGCCCCCUGGACAGAUACUGACACUCAGAUGCGAAAGCGUGGGGAGCAAACAGGAUUAGAUCCCUGGUAGGCUCUGC